GAUGAACGCUGGCGGUAUGCUUAACACAUGCAAGUCGAACGGACUCUUCGGAGUUAGUGGCGGACGGGUGAGUAACGCGUGAGAAUCUGGCUUUGGGUUCGGGACAACCACUGGAAACGGUGGCUAAUACCGGAUGUGCCGAGAGGUAAAAGAGAAAUUGCCUGAAGAUGAGCUCGCGUCUGAUUAGCUAGUUGGUGAGGUAAAGGCUCACCAAGGCAGCGAUCAGUAGCUGGUCUGAGAGGAUGACCAGCCACACUGGGACUGAGACACGGCCCAGACUCCUACGGGGGGCAGCAGUGGGGAAUUUUCCGCAAUGGGCGAAAGCCUGACGGAGCAAUACCGCGUGAGGGAAGAAGGCUCUUGGGUUGUAAACCUCUUUUCUUAGGGAAGAACAAAAUGACGGUACCUAAGGAAUCAGCAUCGGCUAACUCCGUG
This 435-nucleotide ribosomal RNA is filed under the name uncultured bacterium. RNAcentral's name for it is "partial 16S ribosomal RNA". It matches the Rfam family "Bacterial small subunit ribosomal RNA", at positions 28 to 507 of the family's 1533-position model. The record is from RNAcentral.